This is a long non-coding RNA of Cucumis sativus (cucumber), 2498 nucleotides long. RefSeq lists it as uncharacterized. NCBI's taxonomy places the organism in Eukaryota, Viridiplantae, Streptophyta, Magnoliopsida, Cucurbitales, Cucurbitaceae. The record is from RefSeq and is a predicted model, not a curated record. The transcript has 8 exons.
UAAUAACCGAUAAGAAGUAUAUGUUUAUGGAUUAUUUAAACUUUUAAUUAUUUUCAUUCAUAAGUAAUAUUAAAAAGAAUAUGGAUUAUUAUUAUUGCCUUUUAUACAAAACCCUCUCUCCCGUCAAAUUUCUUCCCCAUCCUUCUUCCAACGGUAACUCUCUCUACUUCCUCUCCCCUCUCCCCUUCUCUUUCGCUCUCUGUGAGUAACCCAUCUUGCCGAUCCACACCAUCAUCUUCUCCUAGCCCUAAUGGCGCCAGAAUCAAGAGCGGCAGACCCCUCGAAAACCCAAUUCGUCUUCCAAAGUCCUUUUGUUCCACCGUCACCGUCAGAUCCCGACUCCAUGGUUCUUGAUUCCAAACCCUCGCCGGCUAAGUUGAAGAGCCCGCUUCCACCUAGGUCUCCCUCUUCUAACCCACUUAAGCGGAAGGUAUGAAGACCGUUCCUGAGAAUUCCAUCUCUGGAUUGUCUGAUUCGGGUAUGAAGGUGGUAGUGCGCUUGCUGCCGCCAUCCAAGGACGGAGAUGAAGGGGAUAAUAUAAUACAAAAGGUUAUGUGUCGAUGAAGUUAGCGGACAGUGGGCAGAUGCAGAUGAAUUCUUUAAUGAGGAACAGGCUAUGUGAAAGAGACCAGGCUAUUCGCAAACUGGAAAGGGAAAUAGAAGAUAAAGAUAGGGAAUUGCAAUCAAUUAAAUUAGACAACGACGCAGCUUGGGCCAAGGAUGAUCUUCUGCGGGAACAAGAUAAGGAAAUAGCAACUUAAAGUGGAAGAGGCACUAUCAGCAUUGACAUGUACAUGUGAUUUUAAGCAAGAACCAGGAGAGUGAGAGUUUUAGUGUGCCGUAUUUAGAAUUUGCCGAUAUCUUUUUCCCGUUUCAGCAAGUAUUCCUGAUAGUGGGGAUUCUUCGAGUAAUGCUAGAUAUUGGUUCUAACAACGAGAAGUUACUUAAUGAUCCUCUUUGAUUUAUUGGAGUUGAGGAGUCCCACAAUCUUUAUGUUCUGUUUGUUUCUCCAUCACUUUUUCAAGGCUGUUCAAUUGGAGUUCCAUCUUCAGGUUGACAUGAUUGUCUUGACAGAUGGAAGUCGUAUUCUUGGCCUCGGUGACCUUGGAGUUCAGGGAAUAGGAAUACCUCGGUGGUUACCUCGGUGACCUCUGUUUGUGUUUGCUAAGUUUCAACUAAUACUCUCAGUAUUUAUCUUUGUGCUUAUGUGAUAGAUUUCUUAUGCACUGUAGUGAUUUGGGGUGUUUUCUUAUUUUCUGCAUCUUAGCUACCUUAUUUGCUGCAUCUUAAUUGCUAACGAUUUAGGGAUCAUAAGCCUUGUCCUCUUUGUUGAAAAAAAAAAUGGUUGUUUGAAAGAGGAAUUACUAUUACUAUUACGUCAAAUUACAUAUUGAAUGAAAAAGAAAAUUACAAUUUCUUUUAGCGCUAUGUAAUGGUAGUCAGGUAUAGUAGUCAUGCCUUUGCUCUAGCUUAUAUAUUCAUGUCUAUGUUACUUUCACACUUCUAUUUAUUAAUUUCAUGAAGUCAGUGGGUUUGCAAAAUGAAAGAAUCGUCAUCCUUUUUAAACCACUAGUCCUAAUGUUUCAAAUGAAUUUUCCAAUUUCUUUUUGGGCUGAUGUUUCCAUAGCCCGUUUCUUAACAAAUUGCAUGCCCUCUUCCAUUUUUAAGGGUGAGAUACCUUUUUGUAUCUUAUGCCCCAAACAACAUUUGUUUCUCAUUCCACCCAAAAUAAUUGGUUAUACUUGAUUUGUCCAAGACGUUCGGCCUCAACAUACAAAGUUGGAUCCAAAGACCUUAAAAUAUAUCUUUUUGGUUAUUCUCGUGUUCUUUGAACAUUCCUCCUUUUAUUCCUCACCUUCUUUCUCUUCGAAUAUGAGUCGAGGGAGUAUCAAGAGUCAAAGGAUGAUUUCUUUAUCUACAAUGUUAUCUCUCCUUCUAAUCCUCUUUGUGGUUCAUCUUCACGUGUGUUUACUUCUAUUUGUCAACCCAUCACUGAAGUCUAUGAUCGACGAUAACCUUCUUCAAUUCCAUGCCCUACCCCUAAGGCUUCUUCGUCAUUGGAUCCAGAAAUGAGUGAUGAUCUUCCUAUUGCUCUUCGUAAAGGUAAACUUAAGUGUGCUCAUCUUAUUUCCUCUUCUGUUUCAUAUAACCAUUAGUUGUCUUCUGCAUGUUCUUUCAUUGCAUCAUUAGAGUUUGUAUCAUUAAGCCUAUUCUCAUCUUGGUUGGUGUGUUGCAAUGGUGGAGGAGAUGAUUACUUUAGAUGAUAAUUGUACUUGGGAUUUAGUUUCUCUCCCUGCACGAAAAAAGUAUAUCAGUUGCAAAUGGGUGGUUACAAUUAAAGUUAAUCCUGAUGGUUUUGUCGCUCAAUUAAAAGUACACCUUGUAGUGAAAGGCUACGCACAAACAUGGCGUUAACUAUGCUGAUACUUUUUCUCGAGUAGUAAAAAUGACAUUUGUGAGGUUGUUUAUUUCACUAACUUCAAUCAGUCACUGGCCUU